Molecule: non-coding RNA, 73 nt
Organism: Dunaliella salina
Lineage: Eukaryota; Viridiplantae; Chlorophyta; Chlorophyceae; Chlamydomonadales; Dunaliellaceae
Source: the annotation of a GenBank genome assembly
GGUUCUGUACCUCAGCGGUCAGAGCGUGUGGCUGUUAACCACAAGGUCGAGGGUGCGAUCCCCUCUGGAACUG